Molecule: small nucleolar RNA, 120 nt
Filed under: Echinops telfairi (small Madagascar hedgehog)
Lineage: Eukaryota; Metazoa; Chordata; Mammalia; Afrosoricida; Tenrecidae
Description: Small nucleolar RNA SNORA61 (ENSETEG00000025560.1)
Source: RNAcentral
CCCUUUCAGAUUCCUUGUCCCUCAGAUCUAAAUAUUGGUCGAGUGGCUGAAAAAGAAGGGAAAGUAAAACUGAAGUGGACUUGGAGUCUUUAAUAACUUAGAAGUGCAUUUCACACACAG